UCAUCCUUCAGAUUGCUUCAAUAUCCAUCUCAUGUUGUCCGCUUGGUUUCCGAUAUUUCUCUGAUGCACCAAUAACAUCUCAACGGAGAACUUCAGUGGUUCUUCCAGCUUUGAUGAAAUCGAAGAGAAAACUAGAGAAGAACGAUUUAGGUGAAGAUUGAAGGUGUGGAUUUGUUGUUGAGGAUGGUGCUGCUUUACAGCUUGAAGCGGUUCCGAGAAUAUGAAGAUGCAGAAGAUUGAAUAUGCAGAGAUGAUAAAGCAAUAAAGAGGUUGAAUGAUGUGUAGUAGAUUGAUGUGCAU
Molecule: non-coding RNA, 300 nt
Organism: Vicia faba (fava bean)
Lineage: Eukaryota; Viridiplantae; Streptophyta; Magnoliopsida; Fabales; Fabaceae
Source: the annotation of a GenBank genome assembly